AUGGAGCAAGGAAGGAGGCAAGUGGCUACUGUUUCCUCUUUCUAUCAGUCUGCUUACCAAAAACUCCAUAGACAGAGCCAGAGGUUAUGGAGGGAAGGGGAGAUGGGUCAAUUAUUUGCGCCAAUCAUAUGCAACAUCGAAACGGCGGACACAGUGCGCAAAAUCUAUGUGGGAAUAGUAGUAAACCUAAUAAUCAGCGAAAGAACAUGCUUCAAGGAAAACCCUGAGGGAGAAGAGGAAACCUAUGUUCAGUUAAAGGACGUGCAUGCUUCAAGGAACUACCUACCUAGGAUGCUUGGGAUGGUUAAUGGCGGUGAAGGCCAAGAGGAAGCAGAGCACACAGGCAUGGCGUAUCAUCUCUGA
Molecule: ribosomal RNA, 363 nt
Filed under: Triticum aestivum (bread wheat)
Lineage: Eukaryota; Viridiplantae; Streptophyta; Magnoliopsida; Poales; Poaceae
Description: partial small subunit ribosomal RNA
Source: RNAcentral